This 485-nucleotide ribosomal RNA is filed under the name uncultured bacterium. RNAcentral describes it as "bacterial SSU rRNA". It matches the Rfam family "Bacterial small subunit ribosomal RNA", at positions 29 to 507 of the family's 1533-position model. The record is from RNAcentral.
AUGAACGCUAGCUACAGGCUUAACACAUGCAAGUCGAGGGGCAGCGCAGUGUAGCAAUACAUGGGCGGCGACCGGCGCACGGGUGCGUAACGCGUAUCCAACCUUCCCGUUACUCAGGGAUAGCCUUCCGAAAGGGAGAUUAAUACCUGAUGGUGUUCAAAUUCCGCAUGUUAUUUGAACUAAAGAUUCAUCGGUAAUGGAUGGGGAUGCGUCUGAUUAGGUAGUAGGCGGGGUAACGGCCCACCUAGCCGACGAUCAGUAGGGGUUCUGAGAGGAAGGUCCCCCACACUGGAACUGAGACACGGUCCAGACUCCUACGGGAGGCAGCAGUGAGGAAUAUUGGUCAAUGGGCGCGAGCCUGAACCAGCCAAGUAGCGUGCAGGAUGACGGCCCUAUGGGUUGUAAACUGCUUUUAUGCGGGAAUAAGAUCAGAUACGUGUAUCUGCGUGCAUGUACCGCAUGAAUAAGGACCGGCUAAUUCCGUG